UGGGGAAUAUUGGACAAUGGGCGAAAGCCUGAUCCAGCCAUGCCGCGUGUGUGAAGAAGGUCUUCGGAUUGUAAAGCACUUUAAGUUGGGAGGAAGGGCAGUAAGCGAAUACCUUGCUGUUUUGACGUUACCGACAGAAUAAGCACCGGCUAACUCUGUGCCAGCAGCCGCGGUAAUACAGAGGGUGCAAGCGUUAAUCGGAAUUACUGGGCGUAAAGCGAGCGUAGGUGGUUCGUUAAGUUGAAUGUGAAAGCCCCGGGCUCAACCUGGGAACUGCAUCCUAAACUGGCGCGCUAGAGUAGGGGAGAGGGUGGUGGAAUUUCCUGUGUAGCGGUGAAAUGCGUAGAUAUAGGAAGGAACACCAGAAGCGAAGGCGACCACCUGCGCUCAUACUGACACUGAGGUGCGAAAGCGUGGGGAGCAAACAGG
This 429-nucleotide ribosomal RNA is filed under the name Pseudomonadota bacterium. Its description in RNAcentral is "Proteobacteria bacterium partial 16S ribosomal RNA". It matches the Rfam family "Bacterial small subunit ribosomal RNA", at positions 355 to 776 of the family's 1533-position model. The record is from RNAcentral. Lineage: Bacteria; Pseudomonadati; Pseudomonadota.